AGUGAACGCUGGCGGUAGGCCUAACACAUGCAAGUCGAACGGCAGCACAGUAAGAGCUUGCUCUUACGGGUGGCGAGUGGCGGACGGGUGAGGAAUACAUCGGAAUCUACUUUUUCGUGGGGGAUAACGUAGGGAAACUUACGCUAAUACCGCAUACGACCUACGGGUGAAAGCAGGAGAUCUUCGGACCUUGCGCGAUUGAAUGAGCCGAUGUCGGAUUAGCUAGUUGGAGGGGUAAAGGCCCACCAAGGCGACGAUCCGUAGCUGGUCUGAGAGGAUGAUCAGCCACACUGGAACUGAGACACGGUCCAGACUCCUACGGGAGGCAGCAGUGGGGAAUAUUGGACAAUGGGCGCAAGCCUGAUCCAGCCAUACCGCGUGGGUGAAGAAGGCCUUCGGGUUGUAAAGCCCUUUUGUUGGGAAAGAAAAGCAGCAGGUUAAUACCCCGCUGUUCUGACGGUACCCAAAGAAUAAGCACCGGCUAACUUCGUG
Molecule: ribosomal RNA, 492 nt
Filed under: uncultured bacterium
Lineage: Bacteria
Description: partial 16S ribosomal RNA
Rfam family: Bacterial small subunit ribosomal RNA
Source: RNAcentral